This 471-nucleotide ribosomal RNA is filed under the name uncultured bacterium. RNAcentral's name for it is "SSU rRNA". It matches the Rfam family "Bacterial small subunit ribosomal RNA", at positions 26 to 518 of the family's 1533-position model. The record is from RNAcentral.
AGGACAAACGCUGGCGGCGUACCUAAGACAUGCAAGUCGAACGGGCUGCAGAUCUUCGGGUUUGCAGUGAGUGGCGAACGGGUGAGUAACGCGUAGGAACCCGCCUCGACGUGGGGGAUACCACUUGGAAACAGGUGCUAAUACCGCAUGUGGUCGGAAGAAGAAAGGCUCGAGUAAUCGAGUCGCGUUGAGAGGGGCCUGCGUCCGAUUAGCUAGUUGGUAGGGUAAAGGCUUACCAAGGCGACGAUCGGUAGCUGGUCUGAGAGGAUGGUCAGCCACACUGGGACUGAGACACGGCCCAGACUCCUACGGGAGGCAGCAGUGGGGAAUAUUGCGCAAUGGGCGAAAGCCUGACGCAGCGACGCCGCGUGGGGGAUGAAUGCCUUCGGGUUGUAAACCCUUUCAGCAGGACGAAGCGAAAGUGACGGUACCUGCAGAAGAAGCGCCGGCUAACUACGUGCCAGCAGCCGC